AGCAGCCGCGGUAAUUCCAGCUCCAAUAGCGUAUAUUAAAGUUGUUGCAGUUAAAAAGCUCGUAGUUGAAUUUCGGGGUUCUUCCGUUGGUCGGGCUAUCCAGUCUGUACUAGCGUGUAGAAUUCCUACCUUCUGGGGAACCAUCAUGUUAUUAAUUUAGCGUGGUGGGAAACCAGGACCUUUACCUUGAAAAAAUUAGAGUGUUCAAAGCAGGCUUACGUCUGAAUACAUUAGCAUGGAAUAAUAGAAUAGGACGGUGGUCCUGUUUUGUUGGUUUCUGAAUCACCGUAAUGAUUAAUAGGGAUAGUUGGGGGCAUUAGUAUUCAAUUGUCAGAGGUGAAAUUCUUGGAUUUAUUGAAGACUAACUUCUGCGAAAGCAUUUGCCAAGGAUGUUUUCAUUAAUCAAGAACGAAAGUUAGGGGAUCGAAGACGAUCAGAUACCGUCGUAGUCUUAACCAUAAACUAUGCCGACUAGGGAUCGGACGAUGUUAAAUUUAUUGACUCGUUCGCGCCUUACGGG
RNAcentral lists this ribosomal RNA (520 nucleotides) under uncultured Glomeromycotina. RNAcentral's name for it is "SSU rRNA". It matches the Rfam family "Eukaryotic small subunit ribosomal RNA", at positions 569 to 1094 of the family's 1831-position model. Lineage: Eukaryota; Fungi; Glomeromycota. The record is from RNAcentral.